CUAGAAGCUCUCGACCAAAGAGGAUAUUAUUGUGCAUUCAAAUGGAUAAGGCACCUCUCUGCAGGUUGUAGCUGCUUAACUCUGAGCAACAGACUUUCAAAAAAUCCUCUUUCUACAAGUGUCAGUAGAACAAGAUGAAAGAAGUUUACCUCAUGAAACAUUAAGAUUGUACCAACACGUAUGACCAGGUGAAUCCAUUUCUGAGGCCACUGCCAAGAGUCUUCUGCAAAUGAGGGACCCUGCCGCUUAAAUUUCAUCAGCUCUGUAUAGGUGAGAAGAACUUCCAGGUUGGAAGGGCCCUUCGGCCCCAGCUAUCAGGACUGUGUUCGGGACGAGUGUGCCGGUGAGGCUGGCCCGCUUCAGGCUGGGCAGAUUCUUCGCCCAACUCAGUAGGAAUCAUCAGGGACCUACGUUUUUUGAAGAGAACGUUAGCAUCUUUUCUUCUCAUUCCAAGAACUGGCUACAAGAAACCCCUCAUCUGAGCUACCAGAAAUGUG
Non-coding RNA from Delphinapterus leucas (beluga whale), 497 nucleotides. The record is from RefSeq and is a predicted model, not a curated record. NCBI's taxonomy places the organism in Eukaryota, Metazoa, Chordata, Mammalia, Artiodactyla, Monodontidae.